This 376-nucleotide ribosomal RNA is filed under the name Nematoda sp. RNAcentral describes it as "SSU rRNA". It matches the Rfam family "Eukaryotic small subunit ribosomal RNA", at positions 252 to 626 of the family's 1831-position model. The record is from RNAcentral. Lineage: Eukaryota; Metazoa; Nematoda.
CUGAAUAACUACGCAGAUCGCUUCGGUUUUACACCGGCGACAUAUCCUUCAAGUGUCUGCCUUAUCAACUUUCGAUGGUAGUUUCUACGCCUACCAUGGUUUCGACGGGUAACGGAGAAUUAGGGUUCGACUCCGGAGAGGGAGCCUGAGAAACGGCUACCACUUCUAAGGAAGGCAGCAGGCGCGCAAAUUACCCACUCUCGGCACGAGGAGGUAGUGACGAAAAAUAACGAGAUAACCCGCUUUUGCGAGUUAUCAUCGGAAUGAGUACAAUCUAAAUCCUUUAACGAGGACCUAGCGGAGGGCAAGUCUGGUGCCAGCAGCCGCGGUAAUUCCAGCUCCGCCAGUGUAUAUCUAUGCUGCUGCGGUUAAAAAG